ACGGGGGGGGUAAGCGUUGUUCGGAAUUACUGGGCGUAAAGGGCUCGUAGGCGGCCAACUAAGUCAGACGUGAAAUCCCUCAGCUUAACUGGGGAGCUGCGUCUGAUACUGGAUGGCUUGGAUUUGGGAGAGGGUUGCGGAAUUCCAGGUGUAGCGGUGAAAUGCGUAGAUAUUCGCAAGAACACCAGUGGCGAAGGCGGCUCACUGGUCCAUAACUGACGCUGAGGCACGAAAGCGUGGGGAGCAAACAGGA
Molecule: ribosomal RNA, 253 nt
Filed under: uncultured prokaryote
Description: partial 16S ribosomal RNA
Rfam family: Bacterial small subunit ribosomal RNA
Source: RNAcentral